Molecule: ribosomal RNA, 253 nt
Filed under: uncultured bacterium
Lineage: Bacteria
Description: partial 16S ribosomal RNA
Rfam family: Bacterial small subunit ribosomal RNA
Source: RNAcentral
UACGGGGGGGGCAAGCGUUGUUCGGAAUUACUGGGCGUAAAGGGCGCGUAGGCGGCCACGCACGUCCGUUGUGAAAUCGCCCGGCUCAACUGGGCGGGGUCGGCGGAUACGGCGUGGCUGGAGCAAGCUAGGGGGCAAUGGAAUUCCCGGUGUAGUGGUGGAAUGCGUAGAUAUCGGGAGGAACACCAGUGGCGAAGGCGGUUGCCUGGAGCUUUGCUGACGCUGAGGCGCGAAAGCGUGGGGAGCGAUCCGG